GACGAACGCUGGCGGCGUGCUUAACACAUGCAAGUCGAACGGAAAGGCCUGCUUUCCCUUGUGGAUUGCGGGUACUCGAGUGGCGAACGGGUGAGUAACACGUGAGUGAUCUGCCCCCAACUUGGGUAUAAGCCUGGGAAACUGGGUCUAAUUCCCGAUAGGACUGCAGGGUGGUGCCUGUGGUGGAAAACGAUUUUCUAGUGGUUGGUGAUGAGCUCGCGGCCUAUCAGCUUGUUGGUGGGGUAAUGGCCUACCAAGGCGGCGACGGGUAGCCGGCCUGAGAGGGUGGACGGCCACAUUGGGACUGAGAUACGGCCCAGACUCCUACGGGAGGCAGCAGUGGGGAAUAUUGCACAAUGGGCGGAAGCCUGAUGCAGCGACGCCGCGUGGGGGAUGACGGCCUUCGGGUUGUAAACUCCUUUCGACCGCGAGGAAGCCACCUGGUUGGAAGGGUGGUGACGGUAGUGGUAGAAGAAGCACCGGCUAACUACGUG
RNAcentral lists this ribosomal RNA (494 nucleotides) under uncultured bacterium. Its description in RNAcentral is "partial 16S ribosomal RNA". It matches the Rfam family "Bacterial small subunit ribosomal RNA", at positions 28 to 507 of the family's 1533-position model. The record is from RNAcentral.